GACGUAGGGUGCAAGCGUUGUCCGGAUUUAUUGGGCGUAAAGAGUUCGUAGGCGGUUGCCUAAGUCUGAUGUUAAAGCCCGGAGCUCAACUCCGGUAUGGCAUUGGAAACUGGGCAGCUUGAGUAUGAUAGAGGUUACGGGAAUUCCUGGUGGAGCGGUGAAAUGCGCAGAUAUCAGGAGGAACACCAAUGGCGAAGGCAGCUCGCUGGAACGGUACUGACGCUGAGGCGCGAAAGCGUGGGGAGCGAACAGGAUUAGAUAC
This 262-nucleotide ribosomal RNA is filed under the name uncultured bacterium. RNAcentral's name for it is "partial 16S ribosomal RNA". It matches the Rfam family "Bacterial small subunit ribosomal RNA", at positions 524 to 785 of the family's 1533-position model. The record is from RNAcentral.